This 796-nucleotide ribosomal RNA is filed under the name Escherichia coli. RNAcentral's name for it is "partial 23S ribosomal RNA". It matches the Rfam family "Bacterial large subunit ribosomal RNA", at positions 773 to 1570 of the family's 2925-position model. Lineage: Bacteria; Pseudomonadati; Pseudomonadota; Gammaproteobacteria; Enterobacterales; Enterobacteriaceae. The record is from RNAcentral.
ACCGAACCGACUAAUGUUGAAAAAUUAGCGGAUGACUUGUGGCUGGGGGUGAAAGGCCAAUCAAACCGGGAGAUAGCUGGUUCUCCCCGAAAGCUAUUUAGGUAGCGCCUCGUGAAUUCAUCUCCGGGGGUAGAGCACUGUUUCGGCAAGGGGGUCAUCCCGACUUACCAACCCGAUGCAAACUGCGAAUACCGGAGAAUGUUAUCACGGGAGACACACGGCGGGUGCUAACGUCCGUCGUGAAGAGGGAAACAACCCAGACCGCCAGCUAAGGUCCCAAAGUCAUGGUUAAGUGGGAAACGAUGUGGGAAGGCCCAGACAGCCAGGAUGUUGGCUUAGAAGCAGCCAUCAUUUAAAGAAAGCGUAAUAGCUCACUGGUCGAGUCGGCCUGCGCGGAAGAUGUAACGGGGCUAAACCAUGCACCGAAGCUGCGGCAGCGACACUAUGUGUUGUUGGGUAGGGGAGCGUUCUGUAAGCCUGUGAAGGUGGCCUGUGAGGGUUGCUGGAGGUAUCAGAAGUGCGAAUGCUGACAUAAGUAACGAUAAAGCGGGUGAAAAGCCCGCUCGCCGGAAGACCAAGGGUUCCUGUCCAACGUUAAUCGGGGCAGGGUGAGUCGACCCCUAAGGCGAGGCCGAAAGGCGUAGUCGAUGGGAAACAGGUUAAUAUUCCUGUACUUGGUGUUACUGCGAAGGGGGGACGGAGAAGGCUAUGUUGGCCGGGCGACGGUUGUCCCGGUUUAAGCGUGUAGGCUGGUUUUCCAGGCAAAUCCGGAAAACCAAGGCUGAGGCGUGAUGAC